Molecule: long non-coding RNA, 98 nt
Organism: Maniola jurtina (meadow brown)
Lineage: Eukaryota; Metazoa; Arthropoda; Insecta; Lepidoptera; Nymphalidae
Exons: 3
Source: RefSeq, a predicted model, not a curated record
GUGUAAAACCAACCAAUGUCAAAUGAGCUCGGUGACCAUCAUCCAGUGUUAAUCACUGAGUCAGCGAAUCACCCUGACUGUAAUUAUCUCAGUUCACG